UGCACUGCUUGCAGAUCACUUCCAGACGGGCCGCGGCACGCGCUACAUGCGAGCCUGGUCGAGUUGUGGGAGCAGUGUCAACGCAGCAAGAUGUGCAAACCGCAAUCCGCAUCGUCAUUGGAGGCAGCCGAGCCGAAACGCCCACUCAUUCGGCAGCCGGCGCCGCUGCACUGUCGGCGCCGUCGGCUGAUGCUCGGUGCCAGGAUCAACCUGAAUCUCCUCUGGGAAGACAUGCGCGCCGUCUUUUCGGCCGCUGGUGGUCCGACCUCUCCUGCCAUCUAUCGGCCGACGGGCGAAACUGAGGCGCUGCAGAACGCGUGGAACGAGCUACGAGAGCUGGCUAUACUGAACAGCGGCGAGGGGCCUAGACUGGAAGCUCCGCCUGAACCAGGGUCCAGCACAGGAGUUUAACGGCAAACAAUUUUCUCAGUGUGUGUAUGAUUAAUUGAAGUGUUUCCGAACAGCCUGAGGAAUUAUAGGAGCUAGCGCAGCACGUUAUAGAGCUCACGCAAAUGUCAGAAUCAUGUCAUUUGAGCGGCGAUUCCUGGGCAGACCGCCCAUUUUCUCACUGCAUCACGAGUCUUUCUGCGGGCGCGGGGCUGUCUGAGGCUGUGAUUGGUCCGUGUCAGAGCUGGCGCAGCUCCGGUGUUGUGGGGUGACCGCCGGGGCUGCCGGUGGGGAGAGGGCGGCGCCACGUCCCGCGGUGGCGGCGGCUCGUGCGGCGCCGCUCGGUCGCGCCGCUCGUCCCGUUUACACGUGCCAACCUGUGAUGGAUUGGGGGCCGGCGAGCCCCAUUGUUUAUGAUUGUUUAUGUUUAUGGACGCUGAUGGACAAGUGUGACCCGUGAUAUGAUGUGAUAGAUACAUACAAGAGUUGUCAAA
Molecule: long non-coding RNA, 881 nt
Organism: Amphibalanus amphitrite
Lineage: Eukaryota; Metazoa; Arthropoda; Thecostraca; Balanomorpha; Balanidae
Exons: 2
Source: RefSeq, a predicted model, not a curated record